RNAcentral lists this long non-coding RNA (264 nucleotides) under Linum usitatissimum (flax). RNAcentral describes it as "long non-coding RNA (LUSI_LNC007856)". The record is from RNAcentral. Lineage: Eukaryota; Viridiplantae; Streptophyta; Magnoliopsida; Malpighiales; Linaceae.
CUGAUAAUUACGGCAAAAAGGUAAUAUUCCCAAAUUCAAAUGUGGGGAAAAGAUGUUCAAACUGAAGCCACAUUAUAUAGGUGACCACUUCAUGUAAUAACAAAGAAGAAAACGGGACAAACACUACAAAUACAUAUGACGAUAGAAGGCUAUGUUCGAAAAACAACAAAUAAAACUCAAAAAUCUUCAAAAAAAAAAAAAUACAUUAUGUGCCGAGAAUAAUCCAUCAACUAUUAAACAAAAGUACUUACUUACUUGGUCUCC